RNAcentral lists this ribosomal RNA (192 nucleotides) under Triticum aestivum (bread wheat). Its description in RNAcentral is "partial small subunit ribosomal RNA". Lineage: Eukaryota; Viridiplantae; Streptophyta; Magnoliopsida; Poales; Poaceae. The record is from RNAcentral.
AUGCGUGGACUUGAGGAGGAGGUUCCUGUUCUAUUAUGCAAGCUUGAGAAAAUGUUCCCACCAGGCUUCUUCAAUGUAAUGCAACACCCGAUAGUGCAUCUUCCAUAUGAGGCAAGGGUUGGCGGCCCUGUGGCAUAUCGUUGGAUGUAUGUUUUUGAGAGGGCAAUGCACUAUCUUCGUUUAAAAGUGUGA